This 253-nucleotide ribosomal RNA is filed under the name uncultured bacterium. Its description in RNAcentral is "partial 16S ribosomal RNA". It matches the Rfam family "Bacterial small subunit ribosomal RNA", at positions 524 to 776 of the family's 1533-position model. The record is from RNAcentral.
UACAGAGGGGGCAAGCGUUAUUCGGAAUUAUUGGGCGUAAAGGGCGCGUAGGCGGCGAUUCAAGUGACGGGUGAAGUCCCUCGGCUUAACCGAGGAACUGCCUGUCAGACUGGAUUGCUUGAGGCCGGGAGAGGCGAGUGGAAUUCCCAGUGUAGCGGUGAAAUGCGUAGAUAUUGGGAGGAACACCAGUGGCGAAGGCGGCUCGCUGGACCGGUUCUGACGCUGAGGCGCGAAAGCGUGGGGAGCAAACAGG